CUCUCAAACUAAAGAUGAGGAUUCAAUGUACUGAACCAACCUGAUGGUCUAACCUCGGAGAUAAGGAUAGCAAAUUAACCAUCCAGUCAUUCGUCUGAAACAGGGAACACAGUAGAACUGCUACCUCUCUCUGUCCAAUACUGGAAACAAACAAACAAACAAAAAUGGUGACUUGAAUAUGUGGCAACUGAAAGCACGCAGCCCAGAAGUAUAAUUGGUAAAAUAUGAAGUUCUAAGAAUUGUAAGACUCAGCUCUGGUCUCUUUCUUGUGACAAGUCCACCUUUAAGUAGGGAUUACUCAUGGAGACACAAAGCCACCUGUCCUGUAGACAAACUUUCCUGCACCUGAGACCAAAGACUUCCCUGCUUAAAUGUUUGCCCUAAGGAUUCCCAAGGCUCUCUCACAUGCAGGGUGUGCAUAUCCCAGGGUUUGAGGGGUUGUCAUUGAGGAAGUGAUGUAGACAGAGCUUGUUCAUCAGAAACUAGACUGUCCACACACCUCUGUGAGAAUCCUCACAGUGCACUACUGAGUUGGGGUGGAGACAAGCAAGAUAAAGGCAGAGGGGGUUGGGAUGUGGAUCUCGAAUUUUCUCUGGUAUCUAUUGAAGUCAGCAGAGUCUGGCCACCAUUACCCGUGUAGUGAAGAGCUAGAGACAAUUACACAGAAGCUUUUGUGAUAAGGGGAAUCAUAAAAACAGAAAGGGUAUAAAAUCAUGUGGAAAGUAAACACAGAGGAAACAACAUCAGAGCCUGCAUGCCCUUCUCAUUCCCCCAAGCACGUGGGAUGAGAUGACACAAAAUGGAGGUGGGAGAGUCCACUUUGGGUGGCAGCGUUGAGGAUGCUGCUGGCCUGCAGUUCACAGCUUGAAAGAAAACUAGAGGAGUUUCACACCCACUCCAUCCAUUCCCUAAACAGUUUAGCAGUGGAGCAAACAGCUACUGCUCGCUGGAAGUGAGCCGGUGGGUUUCAUAAAAUAAAUUCUGCUUGCCCUGUUUUGGUAGAAAACCCUCUGCACCCCAGUCCCCAGGCCAGAAAUAUGGUAAGCUUAAGGUGUCUUCCGUAAAUAAUCUUUCCAUUGCUUUUUCUUCUUACCGGACUCCUGUGCAAACCUUUCAUUCUCGGCACACUCCCUUUUCCUGCAUGAGAUACACAUUUUUCUAGUAGCAUUACCACUGCCCACAUUGUCUGUCAGGCUGGGCUUGGAACGUCUAGAAACACUGCUGCAUUUUGAACCACUCUGUAACUAUGACAACGGAUGAUAAACAACGGUUUCUGUCAGCGCCAUUGUGAAACUGGUCAAUUACCGACACACUCUGGGAAUGAGUCCUUCCAAUGGGCCCUCAUGGUCGACUGGCUGUGGAGAUGAAUGUGAACAAGCUAUCAACAGUUCCUUCCAGACUGAGCUUCAGGAGAGAACCCUUGAGUGCAGUUGUUUUCCAGCUGGGGCCACAAACAUGACUCUAGAGGAUUACAAGAACGGUUCCUGUUUUGUUUUGUUAGGAUUGCUUAAGCAAGUUGUCAUUCGUUAAAGGAAGGCUCAGGCCAUGCUGUGGGGUGCAUGGUUCCAAGGACAGGCUUGCCUUUCGUUCCUUCUAGUUUUGGUCCCACCUUUCUUGGGUAUCUUUCUGGAUUUCUUUUUUUUUUUUUUUAAGGAAAACAAAAACGUCUCUCAUAUUCUUACAUCAGGUUGUCUUGAUGUCUUUGUGCCUCUGUCUUCACAUCUCACAGGGCUGGAUUCUCUUAACCUCAGUUGGGUGAGUUCCUGUUACCCCAGUCUUAUUACUCUGGGCUGGUUCCCAGCCUUCUGCUAGAGCUAAAGGCUUCAGAACUUAAGUCGGAGGCACUGUAACUUCCAACCCACAGACCCCGCAGGAAGGAAGACCUUGUGGGCCAGCUCAGUGCGAGUGCUAGGACCGCCCCCAGCCCCCUUCCAGAGCCCAAACAGUGUGCCUCUGCCCUGCCUGGCCCCUCUGUAGCAGCUCACAAGCGAUCUAAAUUGCUUGCCUGGAUGCCACGACUGGACUGGCCCCCCGGAAGGCGCUGGAGAGAGCGUCUGCUCCUCUAUGCUCUGUCAAGCAGCCCUGGCUGGGGCAGGUGAGGAGCAUCGAGAGCGACCGGAUAUUGUAGGGAAGAGGCCAGUGCGCGCACCGCCAGGAGACCCAAGCAAGUCUGCCCUUGGUGCGAGUUGGGGGCCGGAAGGGAGCUCUGGAUUUCGGUCCCUCCCCUUUCCCUGCUCUGUCUUGGAGCAGUGGGGCCAUCAGACCCUCCUACUGUCUGGUACCUGCCUGGAGGAGAGACCAUCUCUCCUCAACGCCCUCCACCAUGGACAAUUCUUUCAAUGACUCCAGGCGAGUGGAGAACUGCGAGAGUCGUCAGUAUCUCCUUUCGGACGAAAGCCCAGCCAUCAGCUCGGUGAUGUUCACGGCCGGGGUUCUGGGAAACCUCAUCGCGCUGGCACUGUUGGCGCGCCGCUGGCGUGGGGACACGGGGUGUAGCGCCGGCAGCAGGACCUCUAUCUCCUUGUUCCACGUGCUGGUAACGGAACUGGUGCUCACCGACCUGCUGGGGACCUGCCUCAUAAGCCCGGUGGUGCUGGCUUCUUAUUCGAGAAACCAGACCCUAGUGGCCCUGGCUCCCGAAAGCCGCGCGUGUACCUAUUUCGCUUUCACUAUGACCUUCUUUAGUCUGGCCACGAUGCUCAUGCUCUUCGCCAUGGCCCUGGAACGCUACCUCGCCAUCGGACACCCUUACUUCUACAGGCGCCGCGUCUCUCGCCGCGGGGGUUUGGCGGUGCUGCCUGCCAUCUAUGGGGUCUCCUUGCUCUUCUGUUCUCUGCCGCUGCUCAACUACGGGGAGUACGUCCAGUACUGUCCUGGGACGUGGUGCUUUAUCCAGCACGGGAGGACCGCAUACCUUCAGCUGUACGCCACGGUGCUCCUGCUGCUCAUCGUGGCUGUGCUCGGCUGCAACAUCAGCGUGAUCCUCAACCUUAUUCGCAUGCAGCUUCGGAGCAAAAGAAGCCGCUGCGGAUUGUCUGGCAGUAGCCUGAGAGGCCCCGGGUCUCGCCGGAGAGGAGAAAGGACUUCUAUGGCGGAGGAGACGGACCACCUCAUUCUCCUGGCCAUUAUGACCAUCACCUUCGCUGUAUGCUCCCUGCCUUUCACAAAGAGAGCCACGGGCCUUCACGACACCCUUGAACAGAAGUGUCUGCAUACCUCGUGUCCAGGUGGUCACUUGUGAAUCUCACAUGAAGCUUUCACAUCAAAGACUUUCUAUGGAGGUGUCAGGAUAGUGUCUAGGGACUGGCAUUGAAGCUGGAACCCCACCACUGCAGUUGAACGCCAUAGACAAAGUAACUAGUCUUUUGAACCCUGGCUUCCUCCUCUCUAAAAGGAUUCUGCGUUCUCGUGGGGGAGGUUUUAAGCCUCCAAAGGCCACGCCUUAGCCAAGACGGAAUAAGUCAAAGAAGCAGUGCAACCGAAUGUAUUAACUCCCCCCUGGAGAUCUCACAGCUGAACCCAAUUAAGUGCUCAUUUCACCCUAAGAUUCCCACUUGUAUCUGAUAAAAGAUAGGAAAGAAGUUUAAAUGACAGUCCCUGGCCACUGCCAAGAAGAAGCUUUCCAUCGAUGCCUGCCUGCCUGCCUGGCUGCCUCAGACAUGGCUGAAACAGAAGAGUCCGGUCGGUGCUACUGCAUAUGUGUCUCAGAAAUGUAGUCUUUGCAAAACCUGGUGUGUGGUGAGCCUCAAGCUGUUAGCUCACUCCACACAUUAGACUCGCACGUGGUACUUUCCUCACAGCGAGGAUAGUGGUGGUGCGGGCCAGGAGGCUCAUGCAUUCCCACCAACCUCUGGAUUUGACCUUCAAAUGUCACCAGUAUGCCACUCGGUGAUUCCUGUGCCUCCUACAUGUCAGUUAUUCGUAAGAACCGAGGAUCUUUGCUUAUAUGGAUGAAACCUCUUCCCGAAAGGAAAAGUGGGACCUCCGAGCUCUUAGAUUUUUAUCAGUGAACUCCAUAAUUGAUCCUUGGGUUUUUGUCAUCCUUAGACCACCAGUCCUGAGACUAAUGCGC
Molecule: RNA transcript, 4072 nt
Organism: Rattus norvegicus (Norway rat)
Lineage: Eukaryota; Metazoa; Chordata; Mammalia; Rodentia; Muridae
Gene: Ptger2
Gene name: prostaglandin E receptor 2
Source: RefSeq, marked provisional